CAAACUAAAGAUGGCGACCGGCGCACGGGUGAGUAACACGUAUCCAACCUGCCGAUAACUCGGGGAUAGCCUUUCGAAAGAAAGAUUAAUAUCCGAUAGCAUAUAUUUCCCGCAUGGGUUUUAUAUUAAAGAAAUUCGGUAUGAGAUGGGGAUGCGUUCCAUUAGUUUGUUGGGGGGUAACGGCCCACCAAGACUACGAUGGAUAGGGGUUCUGAGAGGAAGGUCCCCCACAUUGGAACUGAGACACGGUCCAA
Molecule: ribosomal RNA, 254 nt
Filed under: uncultured bacterium
Lineage: Bacteria
Description: partial 16S ribosomal RNA
Rfam family: Bacterial small subunit ribosomal RNA
Source: RNAcentral